GAGUUUGAUCCUGGCUCAGGAUGAACGCUGGCGGCGUGCCUAACACAUGCAAGUCGAACGAAGCAUAUAGAAGGAAGUUUUCGGAUGGAAUUUUAUAUGACUUAGUGGCGGACGGGUGAGUAACGCGUGGAUAAUCUGCCUUACACAGCGGGAUAACAAGUGGAAACAGUUGCUAAUACCGCAUAAGCACACAGUAUCGCAUGAUACAGGGUGAAAAGAUUUAUCGGUGUAAGAUGAGUCCGCGUCCCAUUAGCUAGUUGGUGAGGUAAAAGCUUACCAAGGCGACGAUGGGUAGCCGGCCUGAGAGGGUGAACGGCCACAUUGGGACUGAGACACGGCCCAGACUCCUACGGGAGGCAGCAGUGGGGGAUAUUGCACAAUGGGCGAAAGCCUGAUGCAGCGACGCCGCGUGAAGGAUGAAGUAUUUCGGUAUGUAAACUUCUAUCAGCAGGGAAGAAAAUGACG
This 465-nucleotide ribosomal RNA is filed under the name Lachnospiraceae bacterium canine oral taxon 024. Its description in RNAcentral is "bacterial SSU rRNA". It matches the Rfam family "Bacterial small subunit ribosomal RNA", at positions 9 to 456 of the family's 1533-position model. Lineage: Bacteria; Bacillati; Bacillota; Clostridia; Lachnospirales; Lachnospiraceae. The record is from RNAcentral.